RNAcentral lists this ribosomal RNA (443 nucleotides) under uncultured bacterium. Its description in RNAcentral is "partial 16S ribosomal RNA". It matches the Rfam family "Bacterial small subunit ribosomal RNA", at positions 338 to 795 of the family's 1533-position model. The record is from RNAcentral.
CCUACGGGAGGCAGCAGUGGGGAAUAUUGGUCAAUGGGCGCAAGCCUGACCCAGCAACGCCGCGUGAAGGAAGAAGGCUUUCGGGUUGUAAACUUCUUUUCUCAGGGACGAAGCAAGUGACGGUACCUGAGGAAUAAGCCACGGCUAACUACGUGCCAGCAGCCGCUGUAAUACGGAGGUGGCAAGCGUUAUGCGGAUUUACUGGGUGUAAAGGUAGUGUAGGCGGGAAAGCAAGUCAGAUGUGAAAACCAUGGGCUCAACCUGUGUCUUGCAUUUGAAACUGUUUUUCUUGAGUACUGGAGAGGCAGGCGGAAUUCCUGGUGUAGCGGUGAAAUGCGUAGAUAUUAGGAGGAACACCAGUGGCGAAGGCGGUCUGCUAAACAGCCACUGACGCUGAGGCGCGAAAGCGUGGGGAGCAAACAGGAUUAGAUACCCGUGUAGUC